AAUUCUCAACUCCGAUCGAUAUUGUUUCGACCUCGGAGCUUGGACUUUGGAGCGUGCUGGCGUCGGUCGGCUCCUCUCAAAUGCAUCAGCGGAAUCUAACGUUUCGGACGUCAGUGUGAUAAUCACGUUGCGCUGUCGACCGAUCCUGAAAGCCCGCUCAUAAUGGUCUUCGGACAAACCCUUCAUCAA
Molecule: unclassified non-coding RNA, 189 nt
Filed under: uncultured Piloderma
Lineage: Eukaryota; Fungi; Basidiomycota; Agaricomycetes; Atheliales; Atheliaceae
Description: sequence contains ITS2
Source: RNAcentral